AACUAACCAGGAUUCUCUUAGUAACGGCGAGUGAAAAGAGAAGAGCCCAGCACCGAAGCCUGUGGUCAUUUGACUAUUGGGCAAUGUGGUGUUUAGGUAUCAUCAUCGGGGUCGUUGCUCUGCUCAAAGUCCUAUUCGGUAUAUGGUAAUAUGGACGCAGGCCACAGAGGGUGAAAGUCCCGUGUGAGCAGAGAUCUCAGCAGCGGCUUCUUGAUGUUACCUUGGAGUCGGGUUGUUUGAAAAUGCAGCCCGAAGCGGGUGGUAAACUCCAUCCAAGGCUCAAUACUGGCACGAGUCCGAUAGCAAACAAGUACCGUGAGGGAAAGUUGAAAAGUACUCUGAAGAGAGAGUAAACAGUACGUGAAACCGCUCAGAGGUAAACGGGUAGAUCACAACUGCAAGUUUGUGAGAUUCAGCUGUCGAGCUUUGGCUUAAUGCUCGGUAUGGGUCGGCCGUAGAGGUACGCCGCACGGUGUGUCUUCGCCUUCGGGUGAUGAUGUGUCUUGCACUUGGCAUGUGUAUCCCGCUUCUACGGUUAGUGAUCCGCUCGGCAGUGCACUUCUCACAAGAAGUCACCACGACCGGGGCGUGGCUGUCUAUCUGUCGUAACAAUGGCGUGGCAUUCGCUGAGCCGGUUGCGAUGGAGUUGUACAGUGCUUCGGAGACGGCGGCUUUCCAAGCCAAAAGUCUGUGGUGUAGUGGUACGCUCUCUACCCGACCCGUCUUGAAACACGGACCAAGGAGUUCAACAUGCGCGCGAGUCAAAGGGUACUCGAAACCCAGAGGCGGAGUGAAAGUGAAGGUCUUCGGACUGAGGUGAGAUCCUGAAGAUUCCCAAUGAUCGAUCUGAGCAAUGGUGCGACAGGCGCAUCACCGGCCCGUCCCUAUGGUGUUCGCGUAGCAGUCACCGGGGCGGAGCAUGAGCGUGUACGUUAAGACCCGAAAGAUGGUGAACUAUGCUUGUGUAGGUUGAAGCCAGAGGAAACUCUGGUGGAGGACCGAAGCGAUUCUGACGUGCAAAUCGAUCGUCAAACGUGAGUAUAGGGGCGAAAGACCA
Molecule: ribosomal RNA, 1057 nt
Filed under: Copiatestes filiferus
Lineage: Eukaryota; Metazoa; Platyhelminthes; Trematoda; Azygiida; Syncoeliidae
Description: eukaryotic LSU rRNA
Rfam family: Eukaryotic large subunit ribosomal RNA
Source: RNAcentral